AAAAUGUGCUGCUCUUGGCUGAGUUGGGCUUGGCGACGCGAUACCUGUGUACGAAUGUGUGUAUGGAUGCAUGGAUGUGUGUGGACGUGUGUCUUGUCGGACGAGUUUUGUGGCGUGGAGACAGGCAUCCCGGGCCUGAAUAGGAUGUUCGGGCAGCAGUUUGGAGGCAGAUUAGCGUUUGGAUUUUUAGCAGGGUCCUAUGCCGGCGUGGAACGCUGCAUAAGCCUCCUAAAAGUUAAAAACCGGCGACAACGGGCAGGAACGUGACAGUUUCGGAGCUGGUUUCACGGAGUGAAUCUGUACACAUUGCAUACGCCGAAUGACGAAUGUUAUGACUGUCCUGGGUAAAUCAGUCAUAUACUAGGGUUUACUUGCAGGGUGUUAUACAGGGGACUUGGGGCUUCCGGCUCCACAUCAUCACCGCGUUUUGUAGUAAUCCAACAUCUCUUGUUAUUGGCGCAGUGUUACAAGAUGUCGUGUAUAAUUUUCAUCGUCCGCAUUUUCGUACGGUGACAUGUUGCAGAUGACCCUUUAGAGCAACGAAACGUACACAACUCACGGCGGCUGAAACUCGACUUAAUUGGAGUAUCCUUGCUAUUUGAGCUAUCGUACCUACGUAGAUCAGU
Molecule: long non-coding RNA, 626 nt
Filed under: Volvox carteri
Lineage: Eukaryota; Viridiplantae; Chlorophyta; Chlorophyceae; Chlamydomonadales; Volvocaceae
Description: long non-coding RNA (VCAR_LNC003384)
Source: RNAcentral